Molecule: ribosomal RNA, 488 nt
Filed under: uncultured bacterium
Lineage: Bacteria
Description: bacterial SSU rRNA
Rfam family: Bacterial small subunit ribosomal RNA
Source: RNAcentral
GACGAACGCUGGCGGCGUGGAUUAGGCAUGCAAGUCGAACGGUAUCAUCCUUUCGGGGAUGAGAGAGUGGCGAACGGGUGAGUAACACGUAGGUGAUCUACCCUCAAGACGGGGACAACCCAGGGAAACUUGGGCUAAUACCGGAUGUGAGCUAUCGCGAGAUAGUUUGAAAGGUGGCUUCGGCUGCCGCUUGAGGAUGAGCCUGCGUCCUAUUAGCUAGUUGGUGAGGUAACGGCUCACCGAGGCGAUGAUAGGUAGGCGGCCUUAACGGGUGGUCGCCCACACUGGGAUUGAGAUACGGCCCAGACUCCUACGGGAGGCAGCAGUCGAGAAUAGUCUACAAUGGUCGAAAGACUGAUAGUGCGACGCCGCGUGAACGAAGAAGCCCUUCGGGGUGUAAAGUUCUUUUAUAUGUGAGCAGUGCUUUCUAUGUGAACAGCAUGGGGAGAGAGAUAUUAGCAUAUGAAUAAGCAACGGCUAACUCCGUG